UUUUUUUUUUUUUUUUUAUAAUUAUUAUUGUGUCUAUGUUCGACACUAUCAUUUUUUUUAUUGCUGAUUUUGGAUUGUUUUUUCUCUCAUGUAUAGCUUCUCUGUGUAUAGAAAGGUUGAAUCAUGCUAUAUAAUGUGUCUGCAAGGUGCUCAACAAAAUGUCACAAUGGCAUUGCAAAGAUGAGAUUUGUCAUCUCAGUUCUGUUAUUUCUUGUGUUCAUUUCAUGUGGAGGUAAAAACACCUUUUGGGUACUUUUUCAAAAGCUUCAGUUUUGAUUUGUAUUUAUGUUUUUGCUUGAUUCUGUUUUUCUCGUUUUCAAAAAUUGUAGUUGCGUAUGAUCCAUUGGAUCUGAAUGGGAACAUAACAAUCAGAUGGGAUGUAAUGUCUUGGAUAACAAUCUCAUAAAUUUGUUCUCAUGUUUGAAAUUACAUUCUAAGUGUUUUAUUUUUAUUUUUUUCUCUUUCUCUCUCUUAUGUUUAAGAAGUUAAUCAGAUGUAAUUUACACUGACGGUUCCUAAAAUAUGCGAUUGUUUAUACUUUAGUCCCACAUCUUUUAAUUAUUCCACUUUGAUCUCCAAAAUAUAUGACCUAGACACUGUAGAUUUGCUUGAGCAAUUACCUACUUUUCAAGAGCUUCUUUUUCGCCUUCUUGCUUGCCACGUGACAUAGUGAUCCAUUAUGCUAGUCGUCAUGGUUUUGUCCUUUUCCAGUACGUAUACAGUGAUUAUCAUUUUAGUUCUUUAAUCAUAUAAUUUCUACUAUUUUUUAGGAGAUGUUGACCAUGUGCAUUUGUGCAGCUAGAGGGAGUAGCUCGAAAUAAUUUAUUAAUUCAAUAUGUGCUUGCAAUCGUAAGGAAUUACUGAAAGCUUUAUCCCAUGCACACCAGUUACUUGGUUUUGUUUGUCUUUGCUUCCUCUUAGCUUCUUCCUGCUUUAGGUUGCAGCUGAAAAUAUAAAGCUCUAUGUAGCUAUUACUGAUGGAACUCUCAAUUUGGUUGACAAGGUAGGCCUUUGAUCAUCUAGUGGUGCAGUCAGAUUGUUGCUUGUGCUCUUGUGAAAGUAAGCAUUGACUUGUAUUGUGUUUCAGUUUUUUGAGAUGCAACACCAUGCUGUUAGGGCACACUUGAAAUUUAUAGUAAGGCAAGGAAUCAGGUAUACAUUGUGUGAUUCUCUGCACGCCCGUACACGUGCACACAUGAGCACAUGCUUCCAUCGAACAUCUUCAUGUUUACACUCUACUUUUAUUGUCUGAUCUUUACAUUCUAGCUUCCUCUGUAGUUCUUCCGUACAAUCUUUAUCAGUUGUGGAAUAUAUUUGUAUGUUAUUAAUAAAGAACUAGUUACCAUUUUUUUUUGUCAUCCACACAUAUUAAUGACUUGAGCUUGAGCACAUGUGAAUCAUCCACAUCUCAAUGCUUCAAAUUUUUGUUUGAUAUCAUGUUUCAUAAUAUGUUGCCUUUAUUUUCUCUAGUCGAACUGUGAAGUACUUCUCUAAUAUGAGAAAAAAUUUGGCUACCGAAGUUUAUGGUUGGGCCAUCUCAUUGAAAGCAAUGAUGAGCAUUGUGGUGCUUAUAGGGCUUACAAUCUGUUUUAUUUAUUGGUGGGUGAAUAAUUAUGCACCCCUUCCAGCUCGAAAUAAGAAGAUGGCCAAUUUGGAAUGGGUUUUAUUGGAGAGACUAAUAGAUCACUUGCAGCCAAAUGGAAGAAAAACCAGAAGGUGGGUGGUAGUAGCUUGUUGCACACAAAUAUGAAAGCUCUUUUUAAUUAAAUGUGUCUGAAAAAGAAUGUGUGUACCGCCCCGAAAUAUACACAAUAUAUCCAUCCCGUAACGACCAAUAAAUAGCAACAUAAAUGAAUUUGUAAGCUUUCAUUAAUCAGAGUUUGAUAUACGAAAGG
Camellia sinensis is the source of this 1895-nucleotide long non-coding RNA. RefSeq lists it as uncharacterized. Lineage: Eukaryota; Viridiplantae; Streptophyta; Magnoliopsida; Ericales; Theaceae. The record is from RefSeq and is a predicted model, not a curated record.